RNAcentral lists this ribosomal RNA (429 nucleotides) under Bacteroidota bacterium. RNAcentral's name for it is "Bacteroidetes bacterium partial 16S ribosomal RNA". It matches the Rfam family "Bacterial small subunit ribosomal RNA", at positions 355 to 776 of the family's 1533-position model. Lineage: Bacteria; Pseudomonadati; Bacteroidota. The record is from RNAcentral.
UAGGGAAUCUUCCGCAAUGGACGCAAGUCUGACGGAGCAACGCCGCGUGAGUGAAGAAGGAUUUCGGUUCGUAAAACUCUGUUGUUAGAGAAGAACAGCGCAUAGAGUAACUGUUAUGCGUGUGACGGUAUCUAACCAGAAAGCCACGGCUAACUACGUGCCAGCAGCCGCGGUAAUACGUAGGUGGCAAGCGUUGUCCGGAUUUAUUGGGCGUAAAGCGAGCGCAGGCGGUCAAUUAAGUCUGAUGUGAAAGCCCCCGGCUCAACCGGGGAGGGUCAUUGGAAACUGGUUGACUUGAGUGCAGAAGAGGAGGGUGGAAUUCAAUGUGUAGCGGUGAAAUGCGUAGAUAUAUGGAGGAACACCAGUGGCGAAGGCGACUCUCUGGUCUGUAACUAACGCUGAGGCUCGAAAGCGUGGGUAGCAAACAGG